This 253-nucleotide ribosomal RNA is filed under the name uncultured bacterium. Its description in RNAcentral is "partial 16S ribosomal RNA". It matches the Rfam family "Bacterial small subunit ribosomal RNA", at positions 524 to 776 of the family's 1533-position model. The record is from RNAcentral.
UACGUAGGGGGCAAGCGUUGUCCGGAUUUACUGGGCGUAAAGGGCGUGUAGGCGGUCUGUUAAGUCUGGCGUGAAAGCUCUCGGCUAAACCGGGAGAGGUCGUUGGAUACUGGCAGACUAGAGGACGGUAGAGGCGUGUGGAAUUCCGGGUGUAGUGGUGAAAUGCGUAGAGAUCCGGAGGAACACCAGUGGCGAAGGCGACACGCUGGGCCGUACCUGACGCUAAAGCGCGACAGCAUGGGGAGCAAACGGG